This 253-nucleotide ribosomal RNA is filed under the name uncultured bacterium. RNAcentral's name for it is "partial 16S ribosomal RNA". It matches the Rfam family "Bacterial small subunit ribosomal RNA", at positions 524 to 776 of the family's 1533-position model. The record is from RNAcentral.
GACGGAGGGGGCUAGCGUUGUUCGGAAUGACUGGGCGUAAAGGGCGCGUAGGCGGUUUUUUAAGUGAGGCGUGAAAGCCCUGGGCUUAACCCAGGAAUUGCGUUUCAUACUGGAAAACUUGAGUACGAGAGAGGUAAGUGGAAUUCCUAGUGUAGAGGUGAAAUUCGUAGAUAUUAGGAAGAACACCAGUGGCGAAGGCGGCUUACUGGCUCGUAACUGACGCUGAGGCGCGAAAGCGUGGGGAGCAAACAGG